Musa acuminata AAA Group (dessert banana) is the source of this 1782-nucleotide long non-coding RNA. RefSeq lists it as uncharacterized. The transcript is spliced from 2 exons. Lineage: Eukaryota; Viridiplantae; Streptophyta; Magnoliopsida; Zingiberales; Musaceae. The record is from RefSeq and is a predicted model, not a curated record.
UCCCGUCGUCACCGCUUUCCGGGAGAGGGAGGAGAUCUCCAAUCGCUGAAUCAGAAUGUUCUCCGUAAUCGCUAGUAUCAUCAUUCCCAAUCCCCUCACCGACCCCUACCUACUAUUCCCUCUCAGCAUCAGACGCAGACGCACCGGCGGCGGAGGCGGUGGCAGCAGAAACAGUGGGUUCAUGCCGAAAGCCACCUACAGCGCCACCACCCCCCUCUUCCCCCGGCUCUAUCUGCAACCCAUGGUGCCGUAUGUGGCGCACCCCACGCCACCAUUGCCCCACCAUCAGUACUUUCCUCAUCCCCCUCUUCCCGCGGCUCAGCACGUGCGGCGGCCGGCGCCUCAUCAGCAUUGUCUUCCACCAAAUCCGUAGCAAACCGCUUCCCUUCUCAGCUUAUUCUCCGCCGCCUCAGCAGAAGCAGAAAUGCCAAAGUAUUUAAGCUGUUGAAGAAGUUGUUGGUGUUUGGCCAUCAGUGGUGUGAGGUUUCGUUUUGCUUCACAUGUGGGGAUGAAAACUGAACCUACACAAAGGAGGCUGAGCAGCAACAGCAGCAUCUCAGAAAAAGCCAUUCCAACCUGCAAGUUUGUAUGAUUCGUUAGGUCUUCCCUUCUUUUUCCCCAGAGGACUAUGUUUCCACCUCUCUUUUAUUAUUACAGUGUUUUCUUUCUUUUUCAAAAAAAGGAAAAAUUCAUUAAAUCAAAUGUAAAACACUAUCUCCUCUCAUAUCAGAUGAGAUCAAAACAUUUAAAUUUGGAAGAAGAUCCCCCUUUCAAAAUCUGUGGUAUCUAUGUGUCCUGACAAAAUUGGCUGACCAGUUAGCAGAAUGAUUGCUUUCCCUAAACAUAUGAUUGGAAUAACAGACUGCCAAUACUUACACUUUUUUCUUCUUUUCAUCCCAACUCAUCCCUUUUGGAAUCAAACCAGAAGAAAGCCUCAUUUCAAUUUAGGACAUCUUCAUCCUAAUCUUUUUCUUUAUCCUAAUCGCUUUUAUAAUGUGAUUUACAUCAUAAUGGUGUAUUUCUAGAAUAGUUUGUCUCUCUGAACAAAAUAUCAUGUUGGAUUUGCAUUUGAAGUGUUACAACAGUGCCAUCAAUAUCUAUUAACAUCCUUUAGACCCACCUAACUCUUGGUGUACUAAAUACUCUGUGGAAUCUUUAGCUGAAAAGCAAUUUGCAGCGUUCUAAUUUAUUUUGAGAAAUGUUGCAGGUGCAAUUUCUUCUGACUAUUUCAUCAAGAAUCAGUAAGCUUGGCAUCAAAUUGCUCAAGCUAGAUUAGAUUACUUUUGGCUGACUUUUUUUUGUUUUUUUUUCAUACUUCCCAUUGGGAAAUCAAUGGCAAGAUAAUGCAAACCAACCUAAAAGUUAAUGAACAGCUUACCAGCUCCUGUGGUGCGACCAUUUUCUUCUAGUGCAGGCCUUCUCUGCAAAGCCAUCCAAAGAAAACACAGAAGGCUCUCGAAACAGCUGCUCUGACCGCCUGUGCAGGAGGGGCGAUGUCUCCGGCGAGGAGUGGUUAGGGGUCGUGAAGGGCGGCGAUGGCGAUGGCGAAGGCGAAAACGGAUACUUGCGGUUACCUGGUCCUACACUGAUCGGAAGGGGAGAAGGUGGUGUUGGAGGAGAAGAUGAGGGUGAGGCCAAAUAAGGCCUCAUUGGCACUAAACCUUUUCGAGUGGAGAACUCAGAGAAAGAAAACAAAACAAUCUAAUAAUCUGGUGUGCAGUUGUUGUUGUUGCUAUCUUUUGUCUGCCUAAAUCUCAGAAGCUUGGUUAACUGCCAGUCCAA